Molecule: long non-coding RNA, 648 nt
Organism: Amphiprion ocellaris (clown anemonefish)
Lineage: Eukaryota; Metazoa; Chordata; Actinopteri; Pomacentridae
Source: Ensembl
CUAUGGAGGAGGCAGCAGAGACUCUGCUCUCCUCGUUUGGAUUAAUUCUGAUAUAAUAACUGUUGGUUUAUUUAUCGGUGCAGCAGCAGAACAUUUUCCACAGACAGUUUUCCUGCCCGUUGGCUUGUUUUAACCAGUUUUCUACCUUCAGCUGAUUCUACCAGCAGACACUGAAAGGACUCUGAUAGUUCGGUCCCUCUCUAUCUCCCCACACAUCCACCAACCACUGGAACACAUCUCCAAAGUUCUGCUGGACCAGCUCAGCUUCCCCUCAGAAGAAGUGCCGCCACCUGCCAGAUGAAGGAGCCUUUUGAGAGGCAGCUGGCAUCGUGAUUGGACUGUACUUUGGUCUGUUCCAAUCCAGCUUCAGCUCCAGAGACGGCAGGUGGGACGAGUCAACGGAGGCCUGGUGGACGAAGACAUGCAGCUGAGUACAAUCCAGAAAACAACAGAGGAGGAGUGCAGCGGCCCAGAGCCAGAACAACCAGAGUAGCAUCGUAUGUCUCUUAGAAAACAUCAUAGUAGAGCCUUUGGUAUGAAAAAACACCAUCAUAUACAUCGUAUAUUGUACAAAUAACAAGUCAAAGGAAAGAGACAUACAUUGUAGAAUUGUAGUAAUUGUGGGCUGACUGAUUUACUGAUUAUCAG